GACGAACGCUGGCGGCGUGCUUAACACAUGCAAGUCGAGCGGUAAGGCCCUUUCGGGGUACACGAGCGGCGAACGGGUGAGUAACACGUGGGUGACCUGCCCUCAGCUCUGGGAUAAGCCUGGGAAACCGGGUCUAAUACCGGAUAUGACUCCAUGACGCAUGUUGUGGGGUGGAAAGCCUUGUGCGGCUGAGGAUGGGCCCGCGGCCUAUCAGCUUGUUGGUGGGGUNANGGCCCUACCAAGGCGACGACGGGUAGCCGGCCUGAGAGGGCGACCGGCCACACUGGGACUGAGACACGGCCCAGACUCCUACGGGAGGCAGCAGUGGGGAAUCUUGCGCAAUGGGCGAAAGCCUGACGCAGCGACGCCGCGUGA
Molecule: ribosomal RNA, 375 nt
Filed under: uncultured bacterium
Lineage: Bacteria
Description: bacterial SSU rRNA
Rfam family: Bacterial small subunit ribosomal RNA
Source: RNAcentral